RNAcentral lists this unclassified non-coding RNA (329 nucleotides) under soil metagenome. RNAcentral's name for it is "partial contains 5.8S ribosomal RNA, internal transcribed spacer 2, and large subunit ribosomal RNA". The stretch from base 1 to 120 matches the Rfam family "5.8S ribosomal RNA", at positions 35 to 154 of the family's 154-position model. The record is from RNAcentral.
GAUGAAGAACGCAGCGAAAUGCGAUAAGUAAUGUGAAUUGCAGAAUUCAGUGAAUCAUCGAAUCUUUGAACGCACAUUGCGCCCCCUGGUAUUCCGGGGGGCAUGCCUGUCCGAGCGUCAUUACAACCCUCAACCUCAGCUUGGUGUUGGGCCCCGCCGCCCCGGCGGGCCCUAAAGUCAGUGGCGGUGCCGUCCGGCUCCGAGCGUAGUAAUUCUUCUCGCUCUGGAGGUCCGGUCGUGUGCUCGCCAGCAACCCCCAAUUUUUUUCAGGUUGACCUCGGAUCAGGUAGGGAUACCCGCUGAACUUAAGCAUAUCAAUAAGCGGAGGA